UUUUUUUUUUUUUUUUUUUUUUGCAGUACACGGGCCUCUCACUGUUGUGGCCUCUCCCGUUGCGGAGCACAGGCUCCGGACGCGCAGGCUCAGCGCCCAUGGCGGACUCUCAACCACUGCGCCAUCAGGGAAGCCCCACCUUUAUUCUUAAAAGGGCAGGAUUGGAUCCCUGGUGAUGGAACUAAGAUCCUGCAAGCUGCGUGGCCAAAAAAAAGAAAGAAAGAAAAAGAAAAGCACUUUAGGUUUUUAAUGUACACAAUUAUUUUUAAUUUUUUUAAAAUUUAUAAAGAAAAGUUACAUAAAUAGCCCAUUGAACAUAUGUUCAAAUAGAGAUGUAAAAUGUGAGUAAAAUCUUAGUAAAGCAUAAGGAUUUGCGUAUCCGUUAGUUCCAUUAUGUUGAUUGGAUUAACCAAAUCCUCUCUUUUAAAUUCAGGUAUUCUUGUGUAGGGUGAAAUAAGGUCACGUGUUAAAGCAUGCUAGUAAAAUUAGAGAGUUGUUGGUUUGUCUUUCAGUGGCUAACCUUGUUUUUUUUGUUUUGUUUUGUUUUCGCUGCGUUGGGUCUUCUUUGUUGCUGCACGUGGACUUUUCUCUAGUUGUGGCGAGCAGGGGCUACUCUUCCUUGCGGUGCACGGGCUUCUCAUUGCGGUGGCUUCUCUUGUUGUGGGCUCUAGGUGUGUGGGCUUCAGUGGUUGCAGCACGUGGGCCCUAGAGCACAGGCUCAGUAGUUGUGGUACACGGGCUUAGUUGCUCGUGGCAUGUGGGAAAUUCCCAGACCAGGAAUCGAACCUGUGUCCCCUGCACUGACAGGUGGAUUCUUAACCACUGCGCCACCAGGGAAGUCCCUAACCUUGUUUUUAAUUGCAUGCCUAUUAAUUUGGUGCAUUGAAGUUCAAGUUUGAUUGGUAUUCAUCACUGACUGUGCUACUCUUCUAUUAUUUUUGCUGGAUAUUAAUAUUGUUGUCUUUUCCUUAAUUGGGUGUAGGUUUCUGUAACAUAUAUUUUUGGCUUUAAGCUCUUCCACAUCAUUCCGUUUUAAUCUAAUUCUUUAGAAGCAGAUUUUUUCCCAAUUUUGUAUUUUGAUACAAUCUCAAAUGUUUGCUUCCUAUAAACAGAAUUUAAACAAUAACAUUUUACCUUAUCUAGUGUAUUUGUUCUAUCUUUCGUGAAUUUUUUGUUCUGUAAAUAAUUCUGAAAUGAUUUAGAAUAUAUGUAUACUUGUUUUUAAUCAAAACAGACCUUAGGUAAAAAUUCAUUUUCCAAGAUUUUUACAGACAUAUUUACCUAAUUGAAAUUAAAAAAACAACUUUUGACUUUUCAAAA
Long non-coding RNA from Orcinus orca (killer whale), 1320 nucleotides. RefSeq lists it as uncharacterized. Lineage: Eukaryota; Metazoa; Chordata; Mammalia; Artiodactyla; Delphinidae. The transcript has 2 exons. The record is from RefSeq and is a predicted model, not a curated record.